AAACCAUUCUACCUCCUUAGUACGGGCGACAGAAAAGAAGAUUGUGGAGCCAUAGCCCAAGUACCGCAAGGGAAAGCUGAAAGAGAGAUGAAAUAGCCCAGUAAAGCCUAAAAAAGCAGAGAUUUAGCCUCGUACCUUUUGCAUCAUGAUUUAGCUAGCACCUUUAGGCAAAGAGAACUUCAGUCUAAAACCCCGAAACUAAGUGAGCUACUCCAAGACAGCCUAUUAAUUAGGGCAAACCCGUCUCUGUGGCAAAAGAGUGGGAAGAGCUUUGAGUAGAGGUGACAGACCUACCGAACUUAGUUAUAGCUGGUUGUCUGAGAAAUGGAUAGAAGUUCAGCCUCCCGGAUUCUCAUCUCACCCUUUGUUUAAUACCUACGGACACCUUGAGAAGCCAAGAGAGUUAUUCAAAGGGGGUACAGCCCCUUUGAAAUAGGACACAACCUUUGAAGCAGGGUAAAGAUCAUACUACUGAAGGAAAAACUGUCUUAGUGGGCCUAAAAGCAGCCACCCUAAAAGAAAGCGUUAAAGCUUAGACAUUCAAAAACCCUACGAUUCUGAUCAUUUAAUCUCAACCCCCUUUAACCUACCAGACCACCCUAUGCCCGCAUAGGAGAGACCAUGCUAAUAUGAGUAAUAAGAGAACACUUGUUUCUCUCUCCAGCACACGCAUAACUCGGAACGGACCCCUCCCCCGAACAUUAACGGCCCCAAAUAAAGAGGGUACUGAAAAAAGACCUGAAAACCAGAAGACCUUUCAAUAAACUACCGUUAACCCUACACUGGUGUGCCCCCUGAGAAAGACUAAAAGAAAGAGAAGGAACUCGGCAAACAUACCUUACAAGCCUCGCCUGUUUACCAAAAACAUCGCCUCUUGCAAAACUAAAGUAUAAGAGGUCCCGCCUGCCCAGUGACACCCAGUUCAACGGCCGCGGUAUUUUGACCGUGCAAAGGUAGCGUAAUCACUUGUCUUUUAAAUGAAGACCUGUAUGAAUGGCAUAACGAGGGCUUAGCUGUCUCCUCUCUCCAGUCAAUGAAGUUGAUUUCCCCGUGCAGAAGCGGGGAUAAUUACAUAAGACGAGAAGACCCUAUGGAGCUUGAGACGGUAGGGCAGCCCAUGUUAAACACCCCUCUAUGCCGGGCUAAACUAAAUGGCCCCUGCCUUAAUGUCUUCGGUUGGGGCGACCCUGGGGAAUACAAAACCCCCACGUGGAACAGGAGCACCCCCCCCACCAACUCCUCCAAACUAGAGCCACACCUCAAAUUAACAAAACUUUUGACCAAAAUGAUCCGGCAAUGCCGAUCAACGGACCAAGUUACCCUAGGGAUAACAGCGCAAU
Molecule: ribosomal RNA, 1340 nt
Filed under: Lepidorhombus whiffiagonis (megrim)
Lineage: Eukaryota; Metazoa; Chordata; Actinopteri; Pleuronectiformes; Scophthalmidae
Description: 16S ribosomal RNA
Rfam family: Bacterial large subunit ribosomal RNA
Source: RNAcentral